This 253-nucleotide ribosomal RNA is filed under the name uncultured bacterium. RNAcentral describes it as "partial 16S ribosomal RNA". It matches the Rfam family "Bacterial small subunit ribosomal RNA", at positions 524 to 776 of the family's 1533-position model. The record is from RNAcentral.
UACGUAGGGUGCAAGCGUUAUUCGGAAUUACUGGGCGUAAAGCGUGCGCAGGCGGUGAUGUAAGUCAGGUGUGAAAUCCCCGGGCUUAACCUGGGAAUGGCAUUUGGGACUGCAAGGCUGGAGUGCGGCAGAGGAGACUGGAAUUCCUGGUGUAGCAGUGAAAUGCGUAGAUAUCAGGAGGAACACCGAUGGCGAAGGCAGCUCUCUGGGACGGUACUGACGCUGAGACGCGAAAGCGUGGGGAGCGAACAGG